UUUUAAGUAAUGGAAACAGAUGGAAAGAGAUGAGGUGCUUCUCAGUCAUGACUCUGUGGAGUUUUGGGUUGGGGAAGAGGAACAUUGAGGACUGUGUUCAAGGGGAAGCCUGCUGCCUUGUGGAGGAGCUGAGGAAAACCAAAUGCUCACCCUGUGAUCCCGCCCUUUUCCUCGGCUGUGCUCCUUGCAAUGUGAUCUGUUCCAUUAUCUUCCAUAAUCGAUUUGAUAAUAAAGAUGAGCAUUUUUAAACUUUUUGGAAAAAAUAUAAAUGAAAACCUCAAGAUUUUGAGCUCCCCAUGGAUCCAGGGAGUCAUAAAAUAUUUCUUAAGAAUAUUGCUGGAGGAAGCCCGGGGCCAAGCCAGACCAGACUGGAGGAGGAAGCCUGGCCCCGCCCCGAGCAAUAGUCCAGAGGAAGCCCAUCAACCCUUAAAACCCAUCAAAGGGGUUGUGGCUACCAGCAUGGUUCUGCAGCUGAUCCAGGAAAAGUUCAAUCAAGAGACUGAAUGAAUUUACCACUGAAGCAUUAAUAACCACUAUACGUGAUCUCUUUGGAGCUGGGACAGAGACAAUCAGCACCACUCUGAAAUAGGGACUCCUGCUCCUGUUGAAGCACCCAGAGGUCACAGCUAAAGUCCAGGGAGAGAUUGACCGUGUGAUUGGCAGACACCGCAGCCCCUGCAUGCAGGAAAAAAGCCAUAAGCCCUACACAAAGGCUGUCGUGCAUGAGAUCCAG
Molecule: long non-coding RNA, 733 nt
Organism: Ictidomys tridecemlineatus (thirteen-lined ground squirrel)
Lineage: Eukaryota; Metazoa; Chordata; Mammalia; Rodentia; Sciuridae
Source: RefSeq, a predicted model, not a curated record